GAUGAACGCUGGCGGCGUGCUUAACACAUGCAAGUCGAACGGUGAAGCAGGAGCUUGCUCUUGUGGAUCAGUGGCGAACGGGUGAGUAACACGUGAGCAACCUGCCCCUGACUCUGGGAUAAGCGCUGGAAACGGCGUCUAAUACUGGAUAUGUGAUGUGACCGCAUGGUCUGCAUCUGGAAAGAACUUCGGUCCAGGAUGAGCUCGCGGCCUAUCAGCUUGUUGGUGAGGUAACGGCUCACCAAGGCGACGACGGGUAGCCGGCCUGAGAGGGGAACCGGCCACACUGGGACUGAGACACGGCCCAGACUCCUACGGGAGGCAGCAGUGGGGAAUAUUGGACAAUGGGGGCAACCCUGAUCCAGCAAUGCCGCGUGAGUGAUGAAGGCCUUAGGGUUGUAAAGCUCUUUUGGCAGGGAAGAAGCGAAAGUGACGGUACCUGCAGAAAAAGCACCGGCUAACUACGUGCCAGCCGCCGCGGUAA
Molecule: ribosomal RNA, 484 nt
Filed under: uncultured bacterium
Lineage: Bacteria
Description: partial 16S ribosomal RNA
Rfam family: Bacterial small subunit ribosomal RNA
Source: RNAcentral